RNAcentral lists this transfer RNA (62 nucleotides) under Olidiana ritcheri. RNAcentral's name for it is "tRNA-Trp". Lineage: Eukaryota; Metazoa; Arthropoda; Insecta; Hemiptera; Cicadellidae. The record is from RNAcentral.
AUGACUUUAAGUUAAUAAACUAUAAACCUUCAAAGUUUAAAUUAUCAUUUAGAUAAGUCUUA